UUUUUGUCUGUCCUUGAUUUCUUCUUUGACAUCUUCUCUUCCCCCAUUAUCUUUUACUCUAUCAAACCUGAUUUUACCCCCUGUAUAAAAAUGCAAAAGCCAUAGUCGUUUACUCCUACACACCCUUAGCAUUUGCUGGGUGUUUGUCUCUUUGGUCUCUUGAGCCUUAGAUAUCUCUAGGCCCCAUUCUAGCUCCCAUGAGCAAUUUCACAUCACUAUGGACAUGACCUCUAUGAAACUGGCUAUGGUACUCUGGGUUUUCAAUGUACAAUUCUAUUUCCCUUCCUGUAGUGGAUGCUGUGGGGCACCACCUCCUUGAGGACCAAGGCACUCCAGCUGCCAGGAAUUUGGCUGCUAACCUCACACAGCUGAGCCUUCCAUGAAAAUUGCUCUCUGCCAAAGAGAACUUCCUAGUCCAAGGUCAUGUCUACUCUCCAGAGAUGUGACUGGAGUGAUUUGCACCUGGAUGCCUAGACUCGCCAUCUGCUGAAAGACUGCUCAGAAAGCCCUCCCAUGCAUUCCCCUGCUGCAUACCAGCCCACUCUGCCUGCAGCUGCUGUCUGCAGGACUUCAUAUCUAUGCCACACUGUGUAAAAGCUGUGCUUCAAGAAAUCACAAAAACGUUUUCCUGCACCUACUACACAGCCUGAGUGCGGCAUAAGUUGACCUUGCUUGCUAAGAAAUGGGGCAAGAAAUGCUUUUUUGUGUGUGUCAUGUCUGUUUGUUUUUCAAUUAAGAGAGGAAAGCAUUAGGCAGAUGGAAUGUACAUGUGAGGAUGAGGAGACAGAAAACAAGUAGCCCUUUCCAUCAAGAUAGAGGGUUUUCUGGGGUUGCUGGCUGUUGAAUGUCACUCCUGAUUUCUCUUUCCAAGGCACUGUACCACCAGCCUACUGAGAUUGUGUGGGAGCUUUCAUGGGGGUUGUAUUUCACUGAUGAAAAUAAAU
Molecule: long non-coding RNA, 944 nt
Filed under: Pan troglodytes (chimpanzee)
Lineage: Eukaryota; Metazoa; Chordata; Mammalia; Primates; Hominidae
Description: long non-coding RNA NONPTRT003223
Source: RNAcentral